This 403-nucleotide ribosomal RNA is filed under the name bacterium. RNAcentral's name for it is "partial 16S ribosomal RNA". It matches the Rfam family "Bacterial small subunit ribosomal RNA", at positions 355 to 776 of the family's 1533-position model. The record is from RNAcentral.
UGGGGAAUAUUGCACAAUGGAGGGAACUCUGAUGCAGCGACGCCGCGUGAACGAAGAAGGCUUUCGAGUCGUAAAGUUCUUUUAUAUGGGAAGAUAAUGACGGUACCAUAAGAAGAAGCCCCGGCUAACUACGUGCCAGCAGCCGCGGUAAUACGUAGGGGGCUAGCGUUGUCCGGAAUCACUGGGCGUAAAGGGUUCGCAGGCGGAAAUACAAGUCAGGUGUAAAAGGCAGUAGCUUAACUACUGUAAGCAUUUGAAACUGCAUAUCUUGAGAAGAGUAGAGGUAAGUGGAAUUUUUAGUGUAGCGGUGAAAUGCGUAGAUAUUAAAAAGAAUACCGGUGGCGAAGGCGACUUACUGGGCUCAUUCUGACGCUGAGGAACGAAAGCGUGGGUAGCAAACAGG